UCGAGAAUCUUCGGCAAUGGGCGAAAGCCUGACCGAGCGACGCCGCGUGCGGGAUGAAGGCCUUUGGGUUGUAAACCGCUGUCGGAGGGGAUGAAAUGCCAGGGGGUUCUCCCCCUGGUUUGACAAAUCCUCAGAGGAAGUACGGGCUAAGUUCGUGCCAGCAGCCGCGGUAACACGAACCGUACAAACGUUAUUCGGAAUUACUGGGCUUAAAGGGUGCGUAGGCGGCCCGGUAAGUUGGGUGUGAAAUCCCUCGGCUCAACCGAGGAAUUGCGCUCAAAACUGCCGGGCUAGAGUGAGACAGAGGUGAGCGGAACUUGCGGUGGAGUGGUGAAAUGCGUUGAUAUCGCAAGGAACACCAGUGGCGAAAGCGGCUCACUGGGUCUCUUCUGACGCUGAGGCACGAAAGCUAGGGGAGCGAACG
This 424-nucleotide ribosomal RNA is filed under the name uncultured bacterium. RNAcentral describes it as "bacterial SSU rRNA". It matches the Rfam family "Bacterial small subunit ribosomal RNA", at positions 355 to 774 of the family's 1533-position model. The record is from RNAcentral.